AAACUCCUGUGAGUACAACACUUUGUACGCUGUGUUUCUGUUAAUCGUCGUAUUCUUCAGAUCUCACGAGCCUUUCAUGGAACGACGCAGACUGCAGGACCAAGUGGAACAGCUACUUAUUUGCAGCACACAAGCCAUCUGUGUGAGGUCACCUGUCCCCGGCUAUCCACACCACAGACUCAUGUUCACUUACAAAUCAACCAACGUGUCCACUGGAUUCGCUCUGGCGGGAAAAUGCACCAAACAAUCACAUUUGUAUUUCUUGCAUGUGUCUCACUUUUGCUGUUUCUCCUGUCACUCACUCACUCGCAAACAAAUAUUGGAAGACUUACAUCCAGUAAGCUGCGCACACACACACACACACACACACACAGACACACACACACAUGAUUGAUUUGCCCCCUCUCCAGUUUUACAACGACUGCUUUGGCAGUUUGGCAAACAGCCGGUGUUUACUGAGCCUGUCGAUGGGCUAUGUAAUCGUAUAUUUCCACCGAGAGUGUCUGUUAGCAAGGACGCUAAUUAGCAAACGAUUAAGCUCUCACACAAAAGAGGUUCUUCAGAUUAAUUGGCGGUAAAGUUAACAAAAGCUUGUGGCUCAGUAAAUAGUUUAGCGAGAACAAUAGCACACCUUGUCACACUGUGUUUUAUGUUUUCAGAUGAGUAAUUGCUAUUGUGUAGACUAAGGACGUAUCACUGUUCAACCACGGCUCUCUACAGUGAACAAAGUUACACACGAUGACAAGCAUGAAGACGCCGCCCGGCUCCAGAUCACGUGCUUGAGCAAUACUUGGUACGGGCUGCAUUGACAAAUGUGUACACGAAGCAACAACAUGUACAACUAAAACAUACGUAUUUGGGGAAAAUACAUUCUUUGGAAGCAGUCUCCGUUGAUCCAGGGGCGUCCUGAAACUAUUUGCUCCAAACAACAAUUUGCAAAAACAUCUGUUAAUGAAGAGGGCGUCCCAACUAGGGGUUUGUAAAUGGUGGAAACAGUUAAAGAUCCCACCGACUGGCUACGAAACUGGGAAAUUGCUUUCCUGAACUCCAGCAGUGCUUCCGGUCUACACAACUAUUUACCUCUGGACCUCGUUGGAUCAGCAGUGUAAACAAGACACAACCUACAAACUGGUUAUAUAGUUUAUCUAACGAGAAUAAACAUGGAAAUACUGCAGCCCCAACAUCAUCCAGAUUAGGCUGCGGAAUAAAUUUGGCAUUUAAAGAAAAAAAAAUGUUUGCUGAUGCAACAAGAAAGCAAGAGAUGAAACCUCCUAAUGAGCAUGUCUGGUAGCAAUGUAUGUUUUGCUUCUUUAACAGACAUGUACACAUGUACAAGCAGUUCUGAAAGUGGGAACCCGGCCGUGCCUUCUCCUCCUCCCCAAUGAACAAAGAUGAAUGCUUGUUUGCAAAAUAACCUGUUGGUUUUUUACAGGGAAUCCACCAACCUUAUUGUGUCAACUUCAAGAAGAUAUUUAUUAGAGAUUUGUCCCGCUUAUGUUUCCGACAAGCAACACACGACACAACAAUGACACAAAUACUGACACAGUACCAAUGUCUAUAAUAGUGUUAAGAGUUCAAAGUAGGAAGGGACAGACAUUUUUGGCAUCCAGUAAAAAUAUGUAAAAAUUGGCGCAUGUGGCUCAAUUACUUCUUCCAUAUUAAAACUGGUCUAUACUAACAGUCACAAUAGAUUAGACCUCUCUAUAAGGGAGAAGAGCAUACUCUUUAUUGGUUAAGAUUAUUUUACAGACUGAUGCUGAUUCCUACAGCAAUUAGGCAGCUGUUAAAUGGUUUAUUACUAAAUGGCCUCUGGCACUCAACAGAUGUUCAGAAAUCAUACAGAUGAGAUCACUUUAUGUUGAUGACACAGUUACAGGCAGUGAUUCCAUUAAGAGUAAAACAAGAUACGAUGUUAACGGUUAUGAUACAGAUCCAAAUAUAAACCCGAAAAAGACCCUUAGCGGUUGUAAUCACCACCAAGUAGUUACAAUUUGUCAUAAUAAUUGAAAGGGACAGAAAAAACAAACCACCCUGAUCGGACUUUUCCCAUGUAUUGUAUACAUCAUUUCCAUGGUUACCUAUGGUGGGGAGAGAAAACAGCAUUUCAUCCUAGGACGAAGCAAAGAAUAAAAGCAGAAGAGACUCCAUCACAAAUAGAUGUAUGCACAGCCUUUUUCUAAAUUCUGGGCAGGUUUUCCAUCGGUAAAAUUCCUGAUGAUCUGAGCUGGGCUGAACGUGCGCUGGGUACUGAUGUGACUAACAGAACACUCCAGCAGCCGGGCGCCGGUUGGGCUGUUGCAGAGGACACUGGGUAAUAAGGCUGCAGAUGACUGAAACCAAAAAAACGAAAUGGGAGAGUGGGGAUUGGUAAUGUUUGUGAGUGCCUGUGUGUCUGUGUGUGGGUGUGUGUGUGUGUUCAUAUGGGGCUGAAUGAAAUAUCUUUUGUUGUCAGGGUGCACCAUGCAAAAGGGAAAAAAACGACAGUACAUUCGGUAUUAUUCAGGUGAAAAAAUGAGUCUCCUAAUGUGUGUGUGUCUAAUAAUUUUUUCUAUGGAUAAAGAAAAUUAAGUAAGAAAAUAUGCACUUGCAGCAGUAAAGCCAGCUUCAGCAAAAUGUACAUAGUGCCUGAAUUUUGUCGUUUAUAUAAUUAUUUACUUUUAUAUGCAAAAUGUUGUCUCUGUACAUCGUGUUAGGAUUAACUCACUAACCUUGGGUCACAAAUAUUUGCAUUCUAAAGAUAGGGGCGUUGCUAUUAAACUGAUAAUAUAAUUUAUAGCUUUGAUUGCAUGAAUCUUCUUGGACAGAUACACUUUUGCUGACUAUGUGACGCUGUGUCUGAGACGUUUAAUAAAAACUGACUGUAUUUUUAAUUUC
This is a long non-coding RNA of Gasterosteus aculeatus aculeatus (three-spined stickleback), 2874 nucleotides long. RefSeq lists it as uncharacterized. NCBI's taxonomy places the organism in Eukaryota, Metazoa, Chordata, Actinopteri, Perciformes, Gasterosteidae. The record is from RefSeq and is a predicted model, not a curated record.